UACGUAGGGGGCAAGCGUUGUCCGGAUUUAUUGGGCGUAAAGAGCGUGUAGGCGGCCAUGCAGGUCCGUUGUGAAAACUCGAGGCUCAACCUCGAGACGCCGGUGGAAACCGUGUGGCUAGAGUCCGGAAGAGGAGAGUGGAAUUCCUGGUGUAGCGGUGAAAUGCGCAGAUAUCAGGAGGAACACCGGUGGCGAAGGCGGGACUCUGGGCCGAUACUGACGCUGAGGAGCGAAAGCGUGGGGAGCAAACAGG
RNAcentral lists this ribosomal RNA (253 nucleotides) under uncultured bacterium. RNAcentral's name for it is "partial 16S ribosomal RNA". It matches the Rfam family "Bacterial small subunit ribosomal RNA", at positions 524 to 776 of the family's 1533-position model. The record is from RNAcentral.